Molecule: long non-coding RNA, 1049 nt
Organism: Asparagus officinalis (garden asparagus)
Lineage: Eukaryota; Viridiplantae; Streptophyta; Magnoliopsida; Asparagales; Asparagaceae
Exons: 2
Source: RefSeq, a predicted model, not a curated record
CCAAAAUGCUCCCUCUCUCUCUCUCUCUCUCUCUCUCUUUGAGUCUCAGCCUCAAGAGAACAAUCAGUUCAAUGGCGGAGGAGCAAGAGGUUGUGAUCGUCGGUCGUCGGCCUGGCGACGACGGUGGAGCUGCAGAGCCUGGACGUUCAUAGCGUCGUGCUGGAUAGAUCCGACGGGCCUAGGACCACGGGCGCAGUGCUCUCCUUGUUCCCUAACGCCUGGCGUGCUCUCGAUGCUCUCAGAGUCGCCCACAAGCUCACCUCGAUUUACCCACCGAUGGAAGAGUAAAAAGCUUCUCCCUUUUUACUCCAGACCAAUUUGGGUGAAAGUUUGUUGACGGUAAUUUCUGUUGUGAGCAGUGGAAGUGUUACUAAUCUUGAGACUGGGGAGGAGUUCUUGAUCAAUUUUACUGGGAACAUGUACUUGAUUUGAUUCGUGUGUCAUUGAUGGUUCCAAUUUGAUGGAAAUUUCUAUCAUCUUUUUGACAGAACUUCCGUCAUCUUUUAGGCUCGUGCGUGGAUUCAGGUUCAUUGAUUCACAUGGUUCAUGUACCUUCUUCCCUCUCUUUGCCCCUCUCCCUCUCCAAUUAAAACCCAACACCUUGAAAAAACUAUUUGAACCCCACUCUCUCUUGUCCCAAAUCUUUCUACGUCCAUCUCUGAAUCUUGGGUCCUCUACAAGAUUUGAUCUUGAUUGGUGCUCCGAAGCUGACCAUGAAUUGAUAGAUUGAGGUCAUGAAAGCUCUAAUAGAUAGAACAAGCAUGUGGUUAGAGACAUUUGAAGGCUAUAAUCCAUGGGGUUGAUACGAAUCAAGUAACUACUCCCGAUGCUGAGUCGGAUGUCAUCCGUGCCAGGCUAUCAGCUGAACUUCUAAUAGAAGGAUGACAACAAAAGAAUUAAGCAGAGAUAUUUGAUAAGGAUGAGAGAAAGUUGUUCUAAAAAUUGAUUGGUUGAAUCAAUCAUGUAUGUAUUGUGCAUAUUAGUUUAGUUGUGUAAACAGUUGAUGUGGAUGACAAACAAUGCAGCAAGCUUGACCUUUUUUGUUCUUA